RNAcentral lists this ribosomal RNA (454 nucleotides) under uncultured bacterium. Its description in RNAcentral is "bacterial SSU rRNA". It matches the Rfam family "Bacterial small subunit ribosomal RNA", at positions 28 to 496 of the family's 1533-position model. The record is from RNAcentral.
GACGAACGCUGGCGGCACGCUUAACACAUGCAAGUCGAACGAGAGAAGAGAAGCUUGCUUUUCUGAUCUAGUGGCGGACGGGUGAGUAACACGUGAGCAAUCUGCCUUUCAGAGGGGGAUACCGAUUGGAAACGAUCGUUAAUACCGCAUAACAUAAUUGAACCGCAUGAUUUGAUUAUCAAAGAUUUAUCGCUGAAAGAUGAGCUCGCGUCUGAUUAGCUAGUUGGUAAGGUAACGGCUUACCAAGGCGACGAUCAGUAGCCGGACUGAGAGGUUGAUCGGCCACAUUGGGACUGAGACACGGCCCAGACUCCUACGGGAGGCAGCAGUGGGGAAUAUUGCACAAUGGAGGAAACUCUGAUGCAGCGAUGCCGCGUGAGGGAAGAAGGUUUUAGGAUUGUAAACCUCUGUCUUCAGGGACGAAAAAAGACGGUACCUGAGGAGGAAGCUCCGG